Molecule: ribosomal RNA, 406 nt
Filed under: uncultured bacterium
Lineage: Bacteria
Description: partial 16S ribosomal RNA
Rfam family: Bacterial small subunit ribosomal RNA
Source: RNAcentral
AUUGAACGCUGGCGGCAAGCCUAACACAUGCAAGUCGAACGAGUGGCGGACGGGUGAGUAAUGUCUGGGAAACUGCCUGAUGGAGGGGGAUAACUACUGGAAACGGUAGCUAAUACCGCAUACCAUCGGAUGUGCCCAGAUGGGAUUAGCUAGUAGGUGGGGUAAAGGCUCACCUAGGCGACGAUCCCUAGCUGGUCUGAGAGGAUGACCAGCCACACUGGAAACGAAGCACGGUCCAGAUCCCUACGGGAGGCAGCAGUGGGGAAUAUUGAACAAUGGGCGCAAGCCUGAGGCAGCCAGGCCGCGUGUAUGAAGAAGGCCUUCGGGUCGUAAAGUACUUUCAGCGGGGAGACGUUACCCUCAGAAGAGGCACCGGCUAACUCCGUGCCAGCAGCCGCGGUAAUUC